CAGCAGCCGCGGUAAUACGUAGGUGGCAAGCGUUGUCCGGAAUUAUUGGGCGUAAAGGGCUCGCAGGCGGUUUCUUAAGUCUGAUGUGAAAGCCCCCGGCUCAACCGGGGAGGGUCAUUGGAAACUGGGAAACUUGAGUGCAGAAGAGGAGAGUGGAAUUCCACGUGUAGCGGUGAAGUGCGUAGAGAUGUGGAGGAACACCAGUGGCGAAGGCGACUCUCUGGUCUGUAACUGACGCUGAGGAGCGAAAGCGUGGGGAGCGAACAGGAUUAGAUACCCGCGUAGUCCCUGUCUCUUAUAA
RNAcentral lists this ribosomal RNA (301 nucleotides) under uncultured bacterium. RNAcentral describes it as "partial 16S ribosomal RNA". It matches the Rfam family "Bacterial small subunit ribosomal RNA", at positions 509 to 809 of the family's 1533-position model. The record is from RNAcentral.